GACGAACGCUGGCGGCGUGCUUAACACAUGCAAGUCGAACGGAAAGGCGCGGCGUUUGUGGGGUGCUCGAGAGGCGAAGGGGGGAGUAACACGUGAGGAACCUGCCCUUGACAGUGGGAGAACAUCAGGGAACUGGGGCGAAAACCGGAGAGGAGCUCCUGCUGCGUGGGGGGGGAUGGAGAGAGUCGGCGGUGGGGGAUGGAAUAGCGGCUUAUCAGCUGGAUGGGGGGGUAGGGGCUUACCAGGGCUAUGAAGGGUAGCCUGCCUGGGAGCGUGAACGGCCUCAUUGCUCCUGCGAUACGGCCCAGUCUCCUACCGGAGGCAGCAGUCGGGAAUCUUGCACAAUGGCCCGACGCCUGUUGCAGCAACCCCCCGUGCGUGAUGCCCUCUUUCUGGUUGUAAACCGCUUUCGCCUGUGCCGUACCCUGCGUGACGGUACUGGGUCAAGAAGCACCGGCUAACUACGUG
RNAcentral lists this ribosomal RNA (468 nucleotides) under uncultured bacterium. RNAcentral describes it as "partial 16S ribosomal RNA". It matches the Rfam family "Bacterial small subunit ribosomal RNA", at positions 28 to 507 of the family's 1533-position model. The record is from RNAcentral.